Molecule: ribosomal RNA, 270 nt
Filed under: uncultured archaeon
Lineage: Archaea
Description: partial 16S ribosomal RNA
Rfam family: Bacterial small subunit ribosomal RNA
Source: RNAcentral
CGAGGGUGCAAGCGUUAAUCGGAAUUACUGGGCGUAAAGCGAGUGUAGGCGGCUAUUUAAGUCGGAUGUGAAAGCCCCGGGCUCAACCUGGGAAUUGCAUUCGAAACUGAAUAGCUAGAGUUUGGUAGAGGUAAGUGGAAUUCCGGGUGUAGCGGUGAAAUGCGUAGAUAUCCGGAGGAACAUCAGUGGCGAAGGCGGCUUACUGGACCAUUACUGACACUGAGGCACGAAAGCGUGGGGAGCAAACAGGAUUAGAGACCCGUGUAGUCC